Molecule: ribosomal RNA, 2932 nt
Filed under: Escherichia coli
Lineage: Bacteria; Pseudomonadati; Pseudomonadota; Gammaproteobacteria; Enterobacterales; Enterobacteriaceae
Description: 23S ribosomal RNA
Rfam family: Bacterial large subunit ribosomal RNA
Source: RNAcentral
GGGUUGUGAGGUUAAGCGACUAAGCGUACACGGUGGAUGCCCUGGCAGUCAGAGGCGAUGAAGGACGUGCUAAUCUGCGAUAAGCGUCGGUAAGGUGAUAUGAACCGUUAUAACCGGCGAUUUCCGAAUGGGGAAACCCAGUGUGUUUCGACACACUAUCAUUAACUGAAUCCAUAGGUUAAUGAGGCGAACCGGGGGAACUGAAACAUCUAAGUACCCCGAGGAAAAGAAAUCAACCGAGAUUCCCCCAGUAGCGGCGAGCGAACGGGGAGCAGCCCAGAGCCUGAAUCAGUGUGUGUGUUAGUGGAAGCGUCUGGAAAGGCGUGCGAUACAGGGUGACAGCCCCGUACACAAAAAUGCACAUGCUGUGAGCUCGAUGAGUAGGGCGGGACACGUGGUAUCCUGUCUGAAUAUGGGGGGACCAUCCUCCAAGGCUAAAUACUCCUGACUGACCGAUAGUGAACCAGUACCGUGAGGGAAAGGCGAAAAGAACCCCGGCGAGGGGAGUGAAAAAGAACCUGAAACCGUGUACGUACAAGCAGUGGGAGCACGCUUAGGCGUGUGACUGCGUACCUUUUGUAUAAUGGGUCAGCGACUUAUAUUCUGUAGCAAGGUUAACCGAAUAGGGGAGCCGAAGGGAAACCGAGUCUUAACUGGGCGUUAAGUUGCAGGGUAUAGACCCGAAACCCGGUGAUCUAGCCAUGGGCAGGUUGAAGGUUGGGUAACACUAACUGGAGGACCGAACCGACUAAUGUUGAAAAAUUAGCGGAUGACUUGUGGCUGGGGGUGAAAGGCCAAUCAAACCGGGAGAUAGCUGGUUCUCCCCGAAAGCUAUUUAGGUAGCGCCUCGUGAAUUCAUCUCCGGGGGUAGAGCACUGUUUCGGCAAGGGGGUCAUCCCGACUUACCAACCCGAUGCAAACUGCGAAUACCGGAGAAUGUUAUCACGGGAGACACACGGCGGGUGCUAACGUCCGUCGUGAAGAGGGAAACAACCCAGACCGCCAGCUAAGGUCCCAAAGUCAUGGUUAAGUGGGAAACGAUGUGGGAAGGCCCAGACAGCCAGGAUGUUGGCUUAGAAGCAGCCAUCAUUUAAAGAAAGCGUAAUAGCUCACUGGUCGAGUCGGCCUGCGCGGAAGAUGUAACGGGGCUAAACCAUGCACCGAAGCUGCGGCAGCGACACUAUGUGUUGUUGGGUAGGGGAGCGUUCUGUAAGCCUGUGAAGGUGUACUGUGAGGUAUGCUGGAGGUAUCAGAAGUGCGAAUGCUGACAUAAGUAACGAUAAAGCGGGUGAAAAGCCCGCUCGCCGGAAGACCAAGGGUUCCUGUCCAACGUUAAUCGGGGCAGGGUGAGUCGACCCCUAAGGCGAGGCCGAAAGGCGUAGUCGAUGGGAAACAGGUUAAUAUUCCUGUACUUGGUGUUACUGCGAAGGGGGGACGGAGAAGGCUAUGUUGGCCGGGCGACGGUUGUCCCGGUUUAAGCGUGUAGGCUGGUUUUCCAGGCAAAUCCGGAAAAUCAAGGCUGAGGCGUGAUGACGAGGCACUACGGUGCUGAAGCAACAAAUGCCCUGCUUCCAGGAAAAGCCUCUAAGCAUCAGGUAACAUCAAAUCGUACCCCAAACCGACACAGGUGGUCAGGUAGAGAAUACCAAGGCGCUUGAGAGAACUCGGGUGAAGGAACUAGGCAAAAUGGUGCCGUAACUUCGGGAGAAGGCACGCUGAUAUGUAGGUGAAGUCCCUCGCGGAUGGAGCUGAAAUCAGUCGAAGAUACCAGCUGGCUGCAACUGUUUAUUAAAAACACAGCACUGUGCAAACACGAAAGUGGACGUAUACGGUGUGACGCCUGCCCGGUGCCGGAAGGUUAAUUGAUGGGGUUAGCCGCAAGGCGAAGCUCUUGAUCGAAGCCCCGGUAAACGGCGGCCGUAACUAUAACGGUCCUAAGGUAGCGAAAUUCCUUGUCGGGUAAGUUCCGACCUGCACGAAUGGCGUAAUGAUGGCCAGGCUGUCUCCACCCGAGACUCAGUGAAAUUGAACUCGCUGUGAAGAUGCAGUGUACCCGCGGCAAGACGGAAAGACCCCGUGAACCUUUACUAUAGCUUGACACUGAACAUUGAGCCUUGAUGUGUAGGAUAGGUGGGAGGCUUUGAAGUGUGGACGCCAGUCUGCAUGGAGCCGACCUUGAAAUACCACCCUUUAAUGUUUGAUGUUCUAACGUUGACCCGUAAUCCGGGUUGCGGACAGUGUCUGGUGGGUAGUUUGACUGGGGCGGUCUCCUCCUAAAGAGUAACGGAGGAGCACGAAGGUUGGCUAAUCCUGGUCGGACAUCAGGAGGUUAGUGCAAUGGCAUAAGCCAGCUUGACUGCGAGCGUGACGGCGCGAGCAGGUGCGAAAGCAGGUCAUAGUGAUCCGGUGGUUCUGAAUGGAAGGGCCAUCGCUCAACGGAUAAAAGGUACUCCGGGGAUAACAGGCUGAUACCGCCCAAGAGUUCAUAUCGACGGCGGUGUUUGGCACCUCGAUGUCGGCUCAUCACAUCCUGGGGCUGAAGUAGGUCCCAAGGGUAUGGCUGUUCGCCAUUUAAAGUGGUACGCGAGCUGGGUUUAGAACGUCGUGAGACAGUUCGGUCCCUAUCUGCCGUGGGCGCUGGAGAACUGAGGGGGGCUGCUCCUAGUACGAGAGGACCGGAGUGGACGCAUCACUGGUGUUCGGGUUGUCAUGCCAAUGGCACUGCCCGGUAGCUAAAUGCGGAAGAGAUAAGUGCUGAAAGCAUCUAAGCACGAAACUUGCCCCGAGAUGAGUUCUCCCUGACUCCUUGAGAGUCCUGAAGGAACGUUGAAGACGACGACGUUGAUAGGCCGGGUGUGUAAGCGCAGCGAUGCGUUGAGCUAACCGGUACUAAUGAACCGUGAGGCUUAACCUUACAACGCCGAAGGUGUUU